Long non-coding RNA from Coregonus clupeaformis (lake whitefish), 156 nucleotides. RefSeq lists it as uncharacterized. Lineage: Eukaryota; Metazoa; Chordata; Actinopteri; Salmoniformes; Salmonidae. The record is from RefSeq and is a predicted model, not a curated record. The transcript is spliced from 3 exons.
GAGCAUCAUAGAACUGCUUGAACAUGAAGAUCUUACACCGGAACAGAAGGACACAGUUUCAGAUCUUUCCAUGUCUUGGGAUCUUCCGGCAGUCACCAAAACAAAUCGGAGAUGGCUACAUAACAAACUUCUACUCCAUGCAGUCGUUGGGAGGAC